GACAGAGGGUGCAAACGUUGUUCGGAAUUACUGGGCGUAAAGCGCGUGUAGGCGGCUUGGCAAGUCGGGUGUGAAAGCCCUGGGCUCAACCCAGGAAGUGCACUCGAAACUGCUUCGCUCGAGUAUCGGAGAGGAAAGCGGAAUUCUCGGUGUAGAGGUGAAAUUCGUAGAUAUCGAGAGGAACACCGGUGGCGAAGGCGGCAUCCUGGACCGAUACUGACGCUGAGGAGCGAAAGCCAGGGGAGCAAACGGG
RNAcentral lists this ribosomal RNA (253 nucleotides) under uncultured bacterium. RNAcentral's name for it is "partial 16S ribosomal RNA". It matches the Rfam family "Bacterial small subunit ribosomal RNA", at positions 524 to 776 of the family's 1533-position model. The record is from RNAcentral.